AGGGUUUGAUCAUGGCUCAGAACGAACGCUGGCGGCGUGGCUAAGACAUGCAAGUCGAACGGACUGCUCAAUUUAUUGGUCAGUUAGUGGCGAAAGGGUUAGGAACGGAUGGGUAACGUACCCUGUGCUUUGGGAUAGCGUCAGUUACUUCGGUAACUUUCCGAAAGGGGCGGUAAUACCAAAUAAUAUCAUUUGUCGAUAGGCGGAUGAUCAAAGAUUUAUCGGCAUAGGCGCGGCCUGUCUCCUAUCAGCUUGUUGGUGAGGUAACGGCUCACCAAGGCAGCGACGGGUAGCGGGACUGAGAGGUUGGCCCGCAACAUCGGGACUGAGACACUGCCCGGACCUCCACGGAGGGCUGCAGUAACGAAUCUUGUGCAAUGGGCAAAGCCUGACACAGCGACGCCGCGCGUAGGAGGAAGUCCUUCGGGAUGUAAACUACUGUCAGGGGGAAGAAAGUGCGCUUCGGCGCAUUGAUCUACCCCAGAGGAAGUCACGGCUAACUUCGUGCCAGCAGCCGCGGUAAGACGAAGGUGGCAAGCGUUGUUCGGUAUUACUGGGCUUAAAGCGUGUGUAGGCGGAAAAGUAAGCGUUUCGUGAAAUCCCCCGGCUUAACCGGGGAACUGCGCAACGAACUGCUUUUCUUGAGGCAAGUAGGGGCGCAUGGAACUCUUGGUGGAGCGGUGGAAUGCGUAGAUAUCAAGAGGAACGCCAGUGGAGAAGUCGGUGCGCUGGGCUUGUCCUGACGCUGAGACACGAAAGCGUGGGUAGCGAACGGGAUUAGAUACCCCGGUAGUCCACGCCGUAAACGAUGCCUACUAGGUUGUGAAAGUUCUGACACUGGCACAGCCGAAGCAAAAGUGUUAAGUAGGCCGCCUGGGGAGUA
RNAcentral lists this ribosomal RNA (883 nucleotides) under uncultured bacterium. RNAcentral describes it as "bacterial SSU rRNA". It matches the Rfam family "Bacterial small subunit ribosomal RNA", at positions 8 to 882 of the family's 1533-position model. The record is from RNAcentral.